UUUUCCCCGAGGGGUCACUCCGUGAGUUCUUUCCCUAGGGGUCAUUUUUGUCAAUUUUGCCGUGUAAUGGCUCCCAUGUUUUGCACUAGUGAGCACUGUGCUUACCUGACUUCUCUCCUUGAUGUUAGAGGAUCUGGUUCCCAUGAUGACACGGGAUCUGAUGGCUCGCGACCCGGGCUCGCAAAAAAGAUUGGGAAAUAUAGUGCUGGCCUCUUCUGUCGCGGCGGCCGCCGCCCGCUGGCGAUAGAGCCGCCGCCCCGCUUCAGGCAUCUCCUCCCGGCCCCUCCGUCGCCUCGCCGAUGGCGGCAUGGUCGUCGUCGGCUUCGCGGGCGGCGCGGGGAGUCCCCGGCGUGUUCUCCCCGGGCGGCUCGGCCAGGACCCUCAGGUACCACCGCGACGGGGUCAAGAGGAUGGUGUAACCGCACCUCGAGUCGCCGCUGCCCCUACCGGUACCAGCGGCGGCGACCCCCGAGAGCUGCUAUUCAUGUUCUCGAUGAGCUAGCGUUGGCCUACUGCCAUCAACACUCUGUGAUGAAAUAUUCCCGUUUUCAUGUGUAAGUAAGCCUCUGUUGCUGUAAUUUCUCAUGGUUGCUUGCUGGCUUAAGAAUGCGUGGGAAUAAUUAAGCACUAUAUUUCUCUUGGGUGCUUUCACAUCUGCCAUUGUGGGUAGUCAUCAUGGAGACAAAAGGAGAUAGUAUGCUAAUCCAUUUCUUUAUUUACAUAGCAAAGUAAACGUACCCAGCUGACAUGCUAUAUCUUUAGUUCAUUGCCCUUUGCUCUUGCUGCAAGAAACCUCUACUCCAGGUCCAAAGCUUCUUUACUCCUCUGCUCCUUUGGUAUUAUACAAGAAAGGGGUAGAGCCAGAGAGCUGGAUGGGCUAGCUAGCUCUAUAUAUCAAAGCUUAAGGUACGCCACACGCCCACGCCACAAUAAGGUCGAGAAAUCUUGCGGCAUAUAGGCGUCUCAAAGAGUCCAUCUAUUCUAAGGUGUGCAAAAAUAUUCUUGAUUAGUUUAUCUAUGUCCAAUGACUAUUCCUCCUAGUUUAUGAAUUCAAUAACUUGGCCAUUCAUCUGUCCGCAUUGGUCUUGACAUGGUUCUUCUCAAAUGCCUUUUGUUCAUUUCACUCGGAUUAAUUCUGGUUUGUUUUGUUUUUUCUGCAGGGCCGUAGUGUGCGCAGUCCUCUCAACAUAUAGUCAAGUGGAAGGUUGCAGCUGAUGGUGACCCCCUUUACUAAGUCUUUUCCUCUUUGCUCUUAUAUAUGCACAAGAAACGUACAAUCCAGGUCCAAUGCUUCUUUAGAGCAUCUCUAGUAGACCCCGUAAACUGGUUAAACCCGUAAAAAAACGAGGUGCUUACAGUUUCUGUCGGAAAAAUGGCGCCUAGCAGACCCCUAAAACUUGUUCGGCCCUUAAAUUUUUUAUGGGACACGGUAAAUUCAUCCGCGAAAACUUUAUACAUACAGUUUUGAAGGCAGUAUACAGUUCAACCCGUAAACCGGUCAAACCUCGUCAGAGCAGACCCGCUGCCGUGGAACUGGCCGGAAUCUAUCUGGAACUCACCGGAAUCCGUCGCCGCACGUCGGAAAAAGCUGCCGCAUGCCGGAAUUUGCUGCCCCCUAGUCCGAAUUGCAGUUGGCUCGACCUCCACUGUCGAGGCGAGGCCGUCCAAGGGCAGGGCGGAGCAGGCCACCAGCGGCCCGAAUCGGGACUGGUCGGCACCAGAGAAGGGCGGGGCGGG
Molecule: long non-coding RNA, 1737 nt
Filed under: Hordeum vulgare
Lineage: Eukaryota; Viridiplantae; Streptophyta; Magnoliopsida; Poales; Poaceae
Description: long non-coding RNA (HVUL_LNC019738)
Source: RNAcentral